This 301-nucleotide ribosomal RNA is filed under the name uncultured bacterium. RNAcentral's name for it is "partial 16S ribosomal RNA". It matches the Rfam family "Bacterial small subunit ribosomal RNA", at positions 509 to 807 of the family's 1533-position model. The record is from RNAcentral.
CAGUCGCCGCGGUAAUACGUAGGUGGCAAGCGUUGUCCGGAAUUAUUGGGCGUAAAGGGCUCGCAGGCGGUUUCUUAAGUCUGAUGUGAAAGCCCCCGGCUCAACCGGGGAGGGUCAUUGGAAACUGGGAAACUUGAGUGCAGAAGAGGAGAGUGGAAUUCCACGUGUAGCGGUGAAAUGCGUAGAGAUGUGGAGGAGCACCAGUGGCGAAGGCGACUCUCUGGUCUGUAACUGACGCUGAGGAGCGAAAGCGUGGGGAGCGAACAGGAUUAGAUACCCCGGUAGUCCCUGUCUCUUAUAC